RNAcentral lists this long non-coding RNA (6216 nucleotides) under Brassica napus (rape). RNAcentral describes it as "long non-coding RNA (BNAP_LNC007702)". The record is from RNAcentral. Lineage: Eukaryota; Viridiplantae; Streptophyta; Magnoliopsida; Brassicales; Brassicaceae.
GUAUAUAUAUGUGUCGUAUGUGAUCAGGUAGUGCAACCUGGAGUGGGCCUGCGCAUGACUUCGGCCCAUCAGAUGUGAUGCUGCUGCUGGCCCAUCACGCAGGGAUAAACCCAAGCUUUCACAAAUCUCCACCAGCUUGGUUUAAGCCCAACCUUGGCCCAUCCGACAACCCUAGUGCCGACAGCUUCCUCCCUUGUCUCUUUGUCUUUCUUGUGAAAUGAGAAAGUCGAUCUUGACUCUCUCUCUCUCUUCCUCGUCUCUCUCACUCGCGACCCUUCUCCGCCGAUUCGGACUUGGUGUCGUCGUGAGGAGUUAUUGGUUGCUCUGCCUCGCAACCGUAGCUCCAUGAAGGUCUCGUCAGCUCCACCGCGAUGGCGUCGCAUCUCCUUCUCUCCAUUCUUCCCUCGAAGUUUCUUCGCCGAACGGCGAUUUGCUUCUCUGAUGAUGGCUCACACCAUCGUGACUCCAUCAUCUUUCCUCCCUAAUAUCCCCAGGUACAUCUAAUCUCUCCUCUUCAUGAGCGAUUAGGAUCAUCUGUUAGGGAUACUAAGUGAGUCUUGUGGGAACUUGAGCUAACUUGAGGAUUCUUUGCCUUUGCAUGUCGUCUCAGGUGACUCGUGACUCUAUCUCUAGUCGCGAUUGAGAACCUGACAUGUCGGUAAGCUCUUGCCUGAGCUCCAUCAUCACGCUCUACCUCUUUCGUAGAUAACGUAAGCUCAUGUCUUAACGAACCUUCUCUAAUAUGCUUUUCACUUGUCGAUCUGACUCUUCUGUUUCUGUUUCAGAAGCCGGUUUAGCUCUGUGACGAGCUUACAUAGUUUCAAGCGUGAAACCUUUCCUUGAUCGGACAUUUGAUUCAGCUCCCUGAGCUGUUAUUAUAUUAUCAUGUUCUGCUGGUAAGCCUUUCAACCAAUACUCUUGUGCUCAGGUAACAUUCUUGCGUUUUGUUACUCACAACAAUAUUCUGUGGCUUGAUGUAGGUUCACUGUCUAGUAGGUGUUGGUGAUUGAUUGUUGAAACCUUUCCGGACCCAGAUGCUUGCUUCUGACAACUCGUGAAGCAUCGUCUGUGUCUCUGUUCCUCUUAUGUGGGAAUGUCUGGUGGCCCAAGUUACUCCAUCUGAACCGGGUCUCCUUACUCAGUUCUAAUUAUCCUCCAGGUGAUUCCUUAUUUAGUAACAUUCCCUGUUGCCUUUGAUUUUCCAUUUCUACACACACUGACCGUUUAUCUUACAUCGACAAUUGAUGUACGUGUUAUGCGAGGAUGGGAUCAUACAACUUGAAUCACCUGGAGCGUCUCCAGUCUUCUUAGUUCACAUUCAAAAGCUCACAGCAAAGCUGGAACUUCUGACCAGGUACCGUUUUUGUUAGGAAAUCUGCAGGAUUGACGUUUGUAUGAAUCUUGUUUAGAACAAUAUCUCCUGCUUCCACUAGAUCACGAAUGAAGUUGAACUUGGUAGCUAUAUGUUUUGUCUUCUCGUGAUUGACUGGAUUUCUUGCUAGGGCUAGGGCACUUUGAGAAUCACAGUAGAGUUUGAUUCCCUGUUGAUUGAAACCUAGUUCAUUGCAUAUUUCCUUUAGCCACAUUGCCUCUUUAGCUGCUUCAUUCAUAGCCAUGUAUUCUGCUUCUGUAGUAGAAAGUGCAACCACUGAUUGUAGACAUGAUUUCCAUGAGAUAGUGUUACCUCCGAAUUUGAAUGCAUAUCCAGUUACUGACCGUCUUCUAUCCAUGUCUGUUGCAUAGUCUGAGUCUGAGUAUCCUUCCACUAGGAGUGUAGAGUUCUUUCUGAAUGUUAGAUUCGAAUCCACUGCUCCCUUUAAGUACCUUAGGACCCACUGGACUGCUUUCCAGUGUUUCCUUCCUGGUUUACUCAUGAAUCUGCAGACGUAGCCUACUGCAAAACCUAGAUCAGGUCUCGAGCCUACCAUUGCGUACAUAAGGCUUCCCACAGCGCUAGCGUAGGGAAUCCUUUCCAUCUGAGAAGCUUCCACCUUUCACUCAGCAUCUGUUAGGCUUCUCAAUUUAAAAUGUGCUGCAGUGGGAGUAAUCACAGGCUUAGCGUCCUGCAUCCCAAACGUCUUUAGGACUUUCUCAAUGUAGUUGCUCUGAGAUAGGAUCAGGGUUCCUUUCUCUCUGUCUCUUGUAAUAUCCAUGCCCAAAAUUCUUGAGGCCUUUCCCAUAUCCUUCAUCUCAAAUUCUCCACUCAGUUUUUCCUUAAGCUCUUUGAUCACCCUUUUGUUUCCUGAGGCGAUCAGCAUGUCAUCGACAUAUAGGAGUAGGUAGAUGGCCUUGUCAGUUUUAACAUCCCUCAUGUAGACACACAAGUCUUUACUGCACCGUUCGAAUAACUGAUUCUUCAUGAAGCUGUUGAACCUAUGGUUCCAUCUUCUUAGGGACUGUUUCAAGCCAUACAGGGACUUUCUCAACAGACACACUUUGUUCUCUGUUCCUGGCUUUAUAAACCUCUCAGGUUGUUCCAUUAACAUCCUUUCCUCUAGACUUCCAUGUAGAAAGGCUGUUUUGACAUCCAUCUGUUCCAGUUCCAAGUUUAAAUUUACCACAAUGCUGAGCAUAAGUCUGAUAGAGACGUGUUUCACAACUGGUAAAAAUAUUUCAUUGUAGUCAAUCCCUUCUGUCUGAGAGUACCCCUUCGCAACUAGUCUGCCCUUGUAUCGUUCGUCCUCAACACCUGGGAUCCCGGGUUUUAAUUUAAACAGCCAUCUGCAUCCAACAAGCUUUGACUUAGCAGGUUUAUCAAUUAGAUCCCAGGUUCUGUUCUUCCUAUGAGAUUCCAUCUCCUCCUCAGCUGCAUUUUUCCACAACUUCUUCUGUGGACUUUUCAUUGCCUCAGCGUAGGAUUUAGGUUCUUCAACCUCUAAGUCGUUGAUGACAUUUAGCGCAUAGGCUACAAAGUUUCCAUCCUCAUAGCGAGAUGGGGGCCUCACGUUCUGUCUUCUUGCUCUGUCUCGAGCUAGAACAUAGGUGUCUAAAGAUCCAGUGUCACCACUUUCACUUUCAACCUCGUCAUUCUGUUCUUGGUCACUCGAACUACUCGACUCUUCAGAUGAUGAUGAUUCUUCUCCACCUUGAUCAGAUGUGUCUUUGGAUUCGACAGAAGGAGAAGGCCCUCUGAUCAAAUCAUCACUGAAUGAGACCCUCUUUUUAGCUUGUUUCUCUGUAUCUUUAGUCACUCCUGUGCUUUCUUUUGCUUUAGCAACGGUGUGCUUGUACAGCUCGUCUUCGUUGAAAACAACAUUUCUACUUGUUCUGCAUCUGCCCUCAUCCUCUAUCCAAACUCGAUAGCCUUUAGUACCCAUAGGGUACCCCACAAACACCUCUUUGAUGGCUCUAGGUCCUGUUUUCUCCUCAGUUAUGUGGACAUACGCAGUGCAUCCAAAAGUUCUUAGAUGUCUCAAGUCAGGUUUCGCGCCGGUCCACAAUUCUUCAGGCAUUCUGAACUCGAGUGUAGAGUUAGGUGAUCUAUUGAUCACAUGGAUAGCAGUAAAUGCUACCUCUGCCCAGAAGCUUUGGUCUAAGCCAGAUUCGGCUAGCAUGCAUCUAACCUUAUCCAUGAUGGUUCUAUUCAUCCUUUCUGAAACCCCAUUUUGCUGAGGAGUGUAGCUGCAGGUUAUGUGACGUUUAAUUCCCACCUGUUUGCAGUAAUUAUCGAACUGCUUGUUGCAGAACUCCAACCCAUUAUCUGUCCUUAGGCAUUUGAUUUUCUUCUCUGUCUUUGUCUCCACCUCAGCUUUCCAUUCUCUGAAUUUAAAGAAUACCUCAUCCUUAGUCUUCAGAAAAUAAAUCCAAACCUUCUUAGAGAAAUCAUCAAUAAAUGUCACGAAAUAUUUGUUUCCAGCAAGGCUAUCUGGUGUUGAUGGAGAACCCCAAAGGUCAGAGUAAAUAUACUCUAGAAUCCCUUUGGUCACAUGCUUAGCCUUAGGAAAACUUUGCUUGUGAGAUUUCCCAAUUAUGCAGUGUUCACAGAAAUUCAAUGUCUUAACUUCCUUGUCAAUGAUAAAUCCCUGUUUGACAAGUUCAGACAUGUUAUUAAGAUUCAUAUGACCGAGGCGUGAAUGCCAUACAUUAGUCAUAUUCCUCUCAACUUUAGAUAGAUUAGCCUCUCCUCGAGAGACUGUCCCCUGUAGAUAAUAUAAUCCCUGAUGAUAUUUUCCUGAGAUAACCGGUUUAUCAUCCUUGUAGAAAUUAACCAUGAGAUCCUUGCCUUCAUAAUUGCAUCCUGAUGUUUCCAAUAUUCCAUAAGAGAUUAAGUUUCUACUCAUACCAGGCAUAUAUCGUACGCCUGUUAGAACCACAGUAGACCCAUUGGGAUUUAGAAUUUUAAUCUUUCCAACUCCUUGAAUGUUGCUAUGCGUGUUAUUUGCCAUUAACACUUUUCCACCUUUGAAUUCUUCCAGGUCAAACAAGAAGCUCUUGUCUGGUGUAAUGUGGAACGAGCAGCCAGAGUCCAUCACCCAUUCGUCCUUGGAGUAUUGGGUGCUCACGGUGAGGAUUAGAGGUUCCUUGGACUCUGCCACAACAUUUGUUGAGUCUGGCGUUUUGUAAGGUUUCUUAUCAGGGCAGUCACGCUUCCAGUGGCCCUCCUUCCCGCAUACAAAACAUCCCUUUGAGCCUUUGGUGUUCCUAGGACGCGACUUGGAACGUCCCUGUCUGCUCUUGGAUCUUCCCCUGUAGGAUUUUCCAUUUCCUUUGCCAGAGCGUUGGUCUGAUCUUCCUCUGUCUGUCACCAUCAGACCUUCUCCACCAGACCUGGUAAACUUACCACUCUCAAUCAACUCUCUUUCUUUCGACCUUGCAGCCCCUGUAACCUCAGCUAGGCUUAGGGUGUCUCUUCCAUACUUGAGAGUCUCUUUGAGUUGAUCAUACUUGUUUGGUAGAGAACUUAGCAGUAGGAUAGCUUGAACUUCCUCGGAUACUUCAACUUGCAAAUUGUUUAAAUCUGCAACUAGCUUCAAGAAUUCAUCCACAUUCUCAUCAAUGGAUUUUGAGUCGGCCAUCUUAAAAGUGUAGAACCUAAGCUGUAGAUAAAUCCUGUUUGGUAGAGAUGUCUCUGUGUACAACUUGUUUAGUGUACUCCACAUUGCAGCAGCAGUUUCACAAUGUUGAAUUUUCCUUAAGACUUUGUUCCCUACAUUCAGCACAAUUAGGUCCUUAGCUUUCUCUGAUUUUUCAAACUUUGCAGGAUCAAUUUCAGGUGUGGGCGCAACAAGCCCAGCUAGCCCCUUCCCAGUGUCCUUUAUGGCAGACUCGGGUUCAUCCUUAGGAUUCACGUCAUCCUUCAAAAGCUUCUCAUCGGUGAGAAUAGCUUUCAGUCCAAGCACUCCAAAGUGAGCAAGCAUUCUCACUUUCCAUAGGGCGAAGUCACCAUCUCCUUCGAAACGGUCGAUCUCGAUGCGUUCCUUUGACUUCACCUUUGAGAAGGUACUGAGUAUGCACCUCUUCUGUCUCUCUCUCUAUCCUAAGCAACCUUGAUGAAAACCGGAAGCUCUGAUACCACUUGUAGAAUGUAAUUAGCUCAUGUUAACUUAGGUUAGAGGUUAUAUACAAUGUUUCAAACACGUUUUGCUCCCUCAUAUCGUUUGUUCCCACGUCAUUGCAAUCUAUUCCAUAGAAAGGAAUAUUCUCCUGUUCCAUCAUACACCCACAAAGCCAAUGUUUAGAUCAGUCACCGAACAAACACAUCAAUGGCGAAAUAGACAACCAGGUCACUUACCUUAAGUUGCUGAGAUUUAACCGCAGAGAGUGUUUCAAUUGGCUGUAGCCCACUGUUCUCUGCAAGAGCCAUAGGGACGGAGUCCAAAGCUUCUGCAAAUGCCCUUAUUGCAUACUGCAUAGACAGAAGCAGUUGUAACAUGUUGAGUCUUCAGCGUUAAGAUUUUUGAAAUAGAUGAUUUCACUACAGACUCAAAGAGAAGAGUAAAGAUCGUCUUUACCUGCUCGACGCCAGGGUAUUUAUCUAGUUGUCCUUGUUGAAGUCUCCUUUCCCUUGAUGCUGUAUCUUGUUGACUGAUCUCUGAUGCUAUAACCUGCUGUUGUUGCUUCUCUCCGGUAACCCUAAUCACCCAUACUAACAUUGUAUAUAUAUGUGUCGUAUGUGAUCAGGUAGUGCAACCUGGAGUGGGCCUGCGCAUGACUUCGGCCCAUCAGAUGUGAUGCUGCUGCUGGCCCAUCACGCAGGGAUAAACCCAAGCUUUCACA